UACGGAGGAGGCAAGCGUUAUCCGGAAUUAUUGGGCGUAAAGCGUCCGUAGGUGGUUCACCAAGUCUGCUGUCAAAGGGUGGGGCUUAACCUCAUAAAGGCAGUGGAAACUGGUGAGCUAGAGUGCGGUAGGGGUAAGGGGAAUUCCCAGUGUAGCGGUGAAAUGCGUAGAGAUUGGGAAGAACAUCGGUGGCGAAAGCGCCUUACUGGGCCUGCACUGACACUGAGGGACGAAAGCUAGGGGAGUGAAAGGG
Molecule: ribosomal RNA, 253 nt
Filed under: uncultured bacterium
Lineage: Bacteria
Description: partial 16S ribosomal RNA
Rfam family: Bacterial small subunit ribosomal RNA
Source: RNAcentral